Molecule: transfer RNA, 82 nt
Filed under: Chloroidium sp.
Lineage: Eukaryota; Viridiplantae; Chlorophyta; Trebouxiophyceae; Watanabeales; Watanabeaceae
Also listed under: 1 other name
Description: tRNA-Tyr
Rfam family: tRNA
About the family: Transfer RNA (tRNA) molecules are approximately 80 nucleotides in length.
Source: RNAcentral
GGGUCGAUGCCCGAGUGGUUAAAGGGGAUGAGUUGUAACCUCAUUGGUUUUGCCUACGUUGGUUCAAAUCCAGCUCGGCCCA